CCUACGGGUGGCAGCAGUGAGGAAUAUUGGUCAAUGGGCGCGAGCCUGAACCAGCCAAGUAGCGUGAAGGAUGACUGCCCUACGGGUUGUACACUUCUUUUAUAAAGGAAUAAGGUGACGCACGUGUGCCUUUUUGUAUGUACUUUAUGAAUAAGGAUCGGCUAACUCCGUGCUAGCAGCCGCGGUAAUACGUAGGAGGCAAGCGUUAUCCGGCAUGACUGGGCGUAAAGGGUGCGUAGGUGGUUUGACAAGUUAGUAGCGAAACUCCGGAGCUAAACUUCGGAACUACUACUAAAACUGUUGGACGUGAGUGCAGGAGGGGCAAUCGGAAUUCCUAGUGUAGCGGUGGAAUGCGUAGAUAUUAGGAGGAACACCAGUGGCGAAGGCGGAUUGCUAGACUGUAACUGACACUGAGGCACGAAAGCGUGGGGAGCAAACAGGAUUAGAUACCCGGGUAGU
This 459-nucleotide ribosomal RNA is filed under the name uncultured bacterium. RNAcentral's name for it is "partial 16S ribosomal RNA". It matches the Rfam family "Bacterial small subunit ribosomal RNA", at positions 338 to 794 of the family's 1533-position model. The record is from RNAcentral.